GGGCCCGCACAAGCGGUGGAUUAUGUGGUUUAAUUCGAAGCAACGCGCAGAACCUUACCUAGGCUUGAAAUCCUCAGAAUUCGACGUAAUGGUCGAAGUGCCCGCAAGGGAAUUGAGUGACAGGUGCUGCAUGGCUGUCGUCAGCUCGUGUUGUGAAAUGUUGGGUUAAGUCUCGCAACGAGCGCAACCCCUAUCUUUAGUUGCCAGCAUUAAGUUGGGCACUCUAGAGAGACUGCCCGGGUUAACCGGGAGGAAGGUGGGGAUGACGUCAAGUCCUCAUGGCCCUUAUGCCUAGGGCUACACACGUAAUACAAUGGUGCAUACAAUGGGAAGCGACCCGGCGACGGUAAGCAAA
This 355-nucleotide ribosomal RNA is filed under the name uncultured bacterium. RNAcentral describes it as "bacterial SSU rRNA". It matches the Rfam family "Bacterial small subunit ribosomal RNA", at positions 917 to 1271 of the family's 1533-position model. The record is from RNAcentral.